Long non-coding RNA from Lemur catta (Ring-tailed lemur), 621 nucleotides. RefSeq lists it as uncharacterized. The transcript has 3 exons. The record is from RefSeq and is a predicted model, not a curated record. Lineage: Eukaryota; Metazoa; Chordata; Mammalia; Primates; Lemuridae.
CUCCUGCCUCAGCCUCCUGAAUAGCUGGGACUACAGGUUCUGCUCACCCCAAAACAGAAGAAGAAAGGAACAGAGAAAGAAUGGACACCAGCAAUGCCAAGUGGUUCUCUUACGCCCCUGCCUGCAGGACCCUGCGAGAUGUUCCAUCGGACUUGGAAAACCCAGGACACUCACCUUUGAAAGUCCCCAAAUUAAAGGCUCAUGAAGAGGUGAUGCAUUUGGAGGCAGAAUGGAAUGGUGCACCGUGCAAACAACGCCUGGGCCCCUGCAUCGGUGGGAAGGGCCCAGCGCUGGAACGUGGGAGGACACAGGUUUCUGUCACUAAAAUGGUAGAAUGAUCCCUAAGGGAAUCUGUGCAGGGAUGAACCUCUGGAUUUGAGAUGGCGGCCUGCGUUCUUGGGAGCCGAGCUGGCCGUCCGCACUCACUAAACCCUGUGCUCUGGCCUACCUGGCGUUAUACAAGUCAAGCGGGGAACCUCUCUGUGCCUUCGGGUGCCCAGCUUAAGGGGACAAGCCUUGUCCCUUCCUGGGAUAGAGGCUUUGGGGCACCAAUGAGCUGAAAUUCUUGCUUUUAAGCAGUACUCUGGGCAACAAAAAAGUUCUACAGUCUCGAGAAUCUUU